UACGAAGGGGGCUAGCGUUGCUCGGAAUCACUGGGCGUAAAGGGUGCGUAGGCGGGUCUUAAGUCAGGGGUGAAAUCCUGGAGCUCAACUCCAGAACUGCCUUUGAUACUGAGGAUCUUGAGUUCGGGAGAGGUGAGUGGAACUGCGAGUGUAGAGGUGAAAUUCGUAGAUAUUCGCAAGAACACCAGUGGCGAAGGCGGCUCACUGGCCCGAUACUGACGCUGAGGCACGAAAGCG
This 237-nucleotide ribosomal RNA is filed under the name uncultured bacterium. Its description in RNAcentral is "partial 16S ribosomal RNA". It matches the Rfam family "Bacterial small subunit ribosomal RNA", at positions 524 to 761 of the family's 1533-position model. The record is from RNAcentral.